Molecule: long non-coding RNA, 1381 nt
Filed under: Homo sapiens (human)
Lineage: Eukaryota; Metazoa; Chordata; Mammalia; Primates; Hominidae
Description: long non-coding RNA NONHSAT169091.1
Source: RNAcentral
CUUGACUGAGCAGUUGGGUUCCAGCGGAAAGACUAUCCAUGAGCUGGAGAAGGUCCGAAAGCAGCUGGAGGCCGAGAAGAUGGAGCUGCAGUCAGCCCUGGAGGAGGCCUCCCUGGAGCACGAGGAGGGCAAGAUCCUCCGGGCCCAGCUGGAGUUCAACCAGAUCAAGGCAGAGAUCGAGCGGAAGCUGGCAGAGAAGGACGAGGAGAUGGAACAGGCCAAGCGCAACCACCUGCGGGUGGUGGACUCGCUGCAGACCUCCCUGGACGCAGAGACACGCAGCCGCAACGAGGCCCUGAGGGUGAAGAAGAAGAUGGAAGGAGACCUCAAUGAGAUGGAGAUCCAGCUCAGCCACGCCAACCGCAUGGCCGCCGAGGCCCAGAAGCAAGUCAAGAGCCUCCAGAGCUUGUUGAAGGACACCCAGAUUCAGCUGGACGAUGCAGUCCGUGCCAACGACGACCUGAAGGAGAACAUCGCCAUCGUGGAGCGGCGCAACAACCUGCUGCAGGCUGAGCUGGAGGAGUUGCGUGCCGUGGUGGAGCAGACAGAGCGGUCCCGGAAGCUGGCGGAGCAGGAGCUGAUUGAGACUAGUGAGCGGGUGCAGCUGCUGCAUUCCCAGAACACCAGCCUCAUCAACCAGAAGAAGAAGAUGGAUGCUGACCUGUCCCAGCUCCAGACUGAAGUGGAGGAGGCAGUGCAGGAGUGCAGGAAUGCUGAGGAGAAGGCCAAGAAGGCCAUCACGGAUGCCGCCAUGAUGGCAGAGGAGCUGAAGAAGGAGCAGGACACCAGCGCCCACCUGGAGCGCAUGAAGAAGAACAUGGAACAGACCAUUAAGGACCUGCAGCACCGGCUGGACGAAGCCGAGCAGAUCGCCCUCAAGGGCGGCAAGAAGCAGCUGCAGAAGCUGGAAGCGCGGGUGCGGGAGCUGGAGAAUGAGCUGGAGGCCGAGCAGAAGCGCAACGCAGAGUCGGUGAAGGGCAUGAGGAAGAGCGAGCGGCGCAUCAAGGAGCUCACCUACCAGACGGAGGAGGACAGGAAAAACCUGCUGCGGCUGCAGGACCUGGUAGACAAGCUGCAGCUAAAGGUCAAGGCCUACAAGCGCCAGGCCGAGGAGGCGGAGGAGCAAGCCAACACCAACCUGUCCAAGUUCCGCAAGGUGCAGCACGAGCUGGAUGAGGCAGAGGAGCGGGCGGACAUCGCCGAGUCCCAGGUCAACAAGCUGCGGGCCAAGAGCCGUGACAUUGGCACGAAGGGCUUGAAUGAGGAGUAGCUUUGCCACAUCUUGAUCUGCUCAGCCCUGGAGGUGCCAGCAAAGCCCCAUGCUGGAGCCUGUGUAACAGCUCCUUGGGAGGAAGCAGAAUAAAGCAAUUUUCCUUGAAGC